RNAcentral lists this ribosomal RNA (513 nucleotides) under uncultured bacterium. Its description in RNAcentral is "bacterial SSU rRNA". It matches the Rfam family "Bacterial small subunit ribosomal RNA", at positions 264 to 796 of the family's 1533-position model. The record is from RNAcentral.
CCCACCAAGCCUAAGACGGGUAGCCGGACUGAGAGGUUGAACGGCCACACUGGAACUGAGACACGGUCCAGACUCCUACGGGAGGCAGCAGUGGGGAAUUUUGCGCAAUGGGGGAAACCCUGACGCAGCGACGCCGCGUGGAGGAUGAAGGUCUUCGGAUUGUAAACUCCUUUUGUCGGGGAAGAUAAUGACGGUACCCGGCGAAUAAACCACGGCUAACUCUGUGCCAGCAGCCGCGGUAAGACAGAGGUGGCAAGCGUUGUUCGGAAUUACUGGGCUUAAAGGGCGCGUAGGCGGUGGAGUAAGUCUGAGGUGGAAGAUUAGGGCUUAACCCUAAAAUUGCCUUGGAAACUGCAUCACUUGAGUCAGCGAGGGGAUGGCGGAAUUCCAGGUGUAGCGGUGAAAUGCGUAGAUAUCUGGAGGAAGGCCGGUGGCGAAGGCGGCAUCUGGCGCUGAACUGACCUGAGGCGCGAAAGCGUGGGGAGCAAACAGGAUUAGAUACCCUGGUAGUCC